GCUGGGAGCAUGGGCUCCCCGGGGCCCUUGGCAGACUGGGGGCUUCUGGAUUACAAGACCGAGAAGUAUGUGAUGACCAGGAACUGGCGGGUGGGCGUCCUGCAGAGGCUGCUGCAGCUCGGGGCUCUGGUCUACGUGGUAGGGUGGGCCCUCCUCGUCAAGAAAGGCUACCAGGAACAGGACCUGAACCCCCAGAUUUCCGUUAUCACCAAACUCAAAGGCGUUUCUGUGGCCCAGAUCAAGGAGCUGGGGAGUCGGCUGUGGGAUGUGGCUGACUUCGUGAAGCCGGCGCAGGGGGAGAAUGUGUUCUUCUUGGUGACCAACUUCCUUGUGACGCCAGAACAAGUUCAGGGCAGGUGCCCAGAGCACCCCUCCAUCCCGCUGGCUAGCUGCUGGGCCCACGAAGACUGUCCUGAAGGGGAGACAGGGACACACAGCCAUGGCAUAAAAACAGGCCAGUGUGUGGUGUUCAAUGAGACCCACAGGACCUGUGAGAUCCUGGGUUGGUGCCCAGUGGAGAGCGACACUGUGCCCACGGAGCCCCUACUGGUCCAGGCCGAGAACUUUACACUGUUCAUCAAAAACACCGUCACUUUCAGCAAGUUCAACUUCUCCAAAUCCAACGCCUUGGAGACCUGGGACAACACCUAUUUCAAGCGCUGCCGAUAUGACCCCCGCUCCAGCCCCCACUGUCCGGUGUUCCGCAUUGGGGACCUCGUGGCCGCAGCUGGAGGGGUCUUUGAGGACCUGGCCUUGCUGGGCGGUGCGAUAAGCAUCCAUGUCCUCUGGGAUUGCAACCUGGACACUGGGGGCUCUGACUGCCAACCCCACUACUCCUUCCAGCUGCAGCAGAGGAGCUACAAUUUCAGGACAGCCACUCACUGGUGGGAAGCCUCAGGCGUGGAGGCCCGGAGCCUGCUUAAACUCUAUGGGAUUCGCUUCGACGUCAUCGUUACUGGGCAGGCAGGGAAGUUUGGGCUCAUCCCCACGACCAUCACUUUGGGCACCGCAGUAGCUUGGCUGGGCGUGGUGAGUGUGGCCGAUGUGGGCUCCCUCUGGCUGCAGACUGCGCGUGCCCAGACCCGCCUGCAUGCACACUGAGCCCCCUUUGCCUGCUGUUGAGUCUGGGAGUGAGGGUUGGGGAGGGUGGCAUGAGGGCAGGCUGGGGCCGGGACAUGGGUCUACCCUGACUCUCCCAGAUCACCUUCUUCUGUGACCUGCUGCUGCUGUACGUGGAUGGAGAAGCCCAUUUCUACUGGACAACCAAGUAUGAGGAGGCAAAGGCCCCGAAGUGACCGCCAGCCCUGAGCAAACAGAGCCGGCCUCU
Molecule: RNA transcript, 1327 nt
Organism: Myotis lucifugus (little brown bat)
Lineage: Eukaryota; Metazoa; Chordata; Mammalia; Chiroptera; Vespertilionidae
Gene: P2RX6
Gene name: purinergic receptor P2X 6
Exons: 11
Source: RefSeq, a predicted model, not a curated record